AACAGCAGUGAUGCAGCAGCAGAUGUCUCUCUGAUAAAAGAUAUAUUCUUCUGUUAUUUCAUGCCAAAGAGGCCAUCGUCUUUUCACAAAUAAUUACGCUGUGGGACUGAAGAUAUCAAAUUUAACAGAUUGGGACAUCACAACCCCUUUUCUGAAGAUACAUCACGUUACCGACUGGAUACAGACAACUGAGUGUGUAAAACCUGUGUUAUGGAAAUUUUGAACUACGGUGCAUUUGAGAAAUAUCUGCUUUUCUAUUGCCUGGUAUGUAACUAGUUUCUUUGAUUGUGAUACACGUCUGUAUAAAUAUCAGAGCAUCACUAGGUACUCUGACCAUGUUCCUUUCAACUGUAAUAAAUAUGAAAUGUAUAUGUAUCUACUUCAGAGACUCCUCAGAUGAUUAUCCUGUAAGCGGUUGACGUGUCUCUCUAUUUGCAAAUAAACUAUUAAUUGUGCCAAGAGAAUUUUGUCUCUGUACUUACUCCUUUAAAUGUUCUGAUCAAUGAAAUUGCCAUCACACCUGUCACUAGUGCAUUCAUUGGAGUUGAGUGUUGUGUUACGUCAGGAUAUUUUGAGUCGUUAUUAUGAUGUUGAUGCAUGACUCAUGAUAUGGACAAGGGGGG
Molecule: long non-coding RNA, 623 nt
Organism: Esox lucius (northern pike)
Lineage: Eukaryota; Metazoa; Chordata; Actinopteri; Esociformes; Esocidae
Source: Ensembl